RNAcentral lists this long non-coding RNA (548 nucleotides) under Phoenix dactylifera (date palm). RNAcentral describes it as "long non-coding RNA (PDAC_LNC020395)". Lineage: Eukaryota; Viridiplantae; Streptophyta; Magnoliopsida; Arecales; Arecaceae. The record is from RNAcentral.
AAUAUGUAUAAAAUAUGUAAAAGGAAUCAAUGGAAAUCAAUAAAAAGAUAAACUCUUAAAACACACAAAUUUGUUCUAAGUGGAUUCGGUACCUCGAGGCUCAUUAUCUCUCUUUUGGGGCUCCUAAUGGAGUAAUCUCCAGAAUCUAUUCAAGAGAUAUUCGGAGAUUAGCUGAGUCCUACUCAAGAACAAAUUGACAGAUUUUUCCUCUAAAAACCAAAAUUUCAGUUCAAAAACUUCAAAGCAUUUAAAGGAAAUUCAAAGAAUCAAAACAAAGUAGAAUGCAUAUGUUGAGGGGAAGAAUCUGAAAUUUUAAGAAAGCUAAAUCAUUAAUUAUAUAUAAGCCAAACAAUUGAAUGCAUGAUAUGAAGGCUUAUAUAAUUCUAAAUGAAAAGGGGAGCUUUAACUCCGAAAUUUAUUGUUUCACUCCUUUCAAGCUUGGAUAAAUUGAAUUACCAGACAUUUGAAUUCAUUUAUGGAUUUUAUUUGAUUGUUUAUGGUGCAAUUCACCUUACAUAUACUCAAUGUUUUGUCAUCAUCAAAAAGGG